UAGAAAAUGGUGUAGUGGAAGCACUUAGAGUUUUGAUCUCUAAUGGAUGGGUUCAAGUCCCUUUUUUCUAA
This 71-nucleotide transfer RNA is filed under the name Ilisha africana (West African ilisha). RNAcentral's name for it is "tRNA-Gln". It matches the Rfam family "tRNA". Rfam says of the family: Transfer RNA (tRNA) molecules are approximately 80 nucleotides in length. Their secondary structure includes four short double-helical elements and three loops (D, anti-codon, and T loops). Further hydrogen bonds mediate the characteristic L-shaped molecular structure. tRNAs have two regions of fundamental functional importance: the anti-codon, which is responsible for specific mRNA codon recognition, and the 3' end, to which the tRNAs corresponding amino acid is attached (by aminoacyl-tRNA synthetases). tRNAs cope with the degeneracy of the genetic code in two manners: having more than one tRNA (with a specific anti-codon) for a particular amino acid; and 'wobble' base-pairing, i.e. permitting non-standard base-pairing at the 3rd anti-codon position. The record is from RNAcentral. Lineage: Eukaryota; Metazoa; Chordata; Actinopteri; Clupeiformes; Pristigasteridae.